This 506-nucleotide ribosomal RNA is filed under the name uncultured Glomeromycotina. RNAcentral describes it as "partial small subunit ribosomal RNA". It matches the Rfam family "Eukaryotic small subunit ribosomal RNA", at positions 591 to 1092 of the family's 1831-position model. Lineage: Eukaryota; Fungi; Glomeromycota. The record is from RNAcentral.
CCAAUAGCGUAUAUUAAAGUUGUUGCAGUUAAAAAGCUCGUAGUUGAAUUUCGGGAUUGACGUGACGGUCGUGCCUUACGGGGUAUGAACUGUCGCCGUUGAUUUCUCACCUUCUGGAGAAGCUCGAUGUCCUUAAUUGGGUGUCUUGCGGAACCAGGACCUUUACCUUGAAAAAAUUAGAGUGUUUAAAGCAGGCAUUUUGCUCGAAUACAUUAGCAUGGAAUAAUAGAAUAGGACGGCAUGGUUCUAUUUUGUUGGUUUCUAGGAUCACCGUAAAGAUUAAUAGGGAUAGUUGGGGGCAUUAGUAUUUAAUUGUCAGAGGUGAAAUUCUUGGAUUUAUUGAAGACUAACUACUGCGAAAGCAUUUGCCAAGGAUGUUUUCAUUAAUCAAGAACGAAAGUUAGGGGAUCGAAGACGAUCAGAUACCGUCGUAGUCCUAACCAUAAACUAUGCCGACUAGGAAUCAGACGAUGUUAAUUUUUUAAUGACUCGUUUGGCACCUUACG